CCAACGGCCCUCUUUAGGGCCACAAAUGUCUAGGUCAUAGUUAUC
Molecule: non-coding RNA, 45 nt
Organism: Enterobius vermicularis (human pinworm)
Lineage: Eukaryota; Metazoa; Nematoda; Chromadorea; Rhabditida; Oxyuridae
Source: Rfam